GAUGAACGCUGGCGGCGUGCCUAAUACAUGCAAGUCGAGCGAACAGAUGAGGAGCUUGCUCCUCUGACGUUAGCGGCGGACGGGUGAGUAACACGUGGAUAACCUACCUAUAAGACUGGGAUAACUUCGGGAAACCGGAGCUAAUACCGGAUAAUAUAUUGGACCGCAUGGUUCAAUAGUGAAAGACGGUUUUGCUGUCACUUAUAGAUGGAUCCGCGCCGCAUUAGCUAGUUGGUAAGGUAACGGCUUACCAAGGCAACGAUGCGUAGCCGACCUGAGAGGGUGAUCGGCCACACUGGAACUGAGACACGGUCCAGACUCCUACGGGAGGCAGCAGUAGGGAAUCUUCCGCAAUGGGCGAAAGCCUGACGGAGCAACGCCGCGUGAGCGAUGAAGGUCUUCGGAUCGUAAAACUCUGUUAUUAGGGAAGAACAAAUGUGUAAGUAACUAUGCACGUCUUGACGGUACCUAAUCAGAAAGCCACGGCUAACUACGUG
Molecule: ribosomal RNA, 497 nt
Filed under: uncultured bacterium
Lineage: Bacteria
Description: partial 16S ribosomal RNA
Rfam family: Bacterial small subunit ribosomal RNA
Source: RNAcentral